GAUGAACGCUGGCGGCGUGCCUAAUACAUGCAAGUCGAGCGAACAGACGAGGAGCUUGCUCCUUUGACGUUAGCGGCGGACGGGUGAGUAACACGUAGGUAACCUACCUAUAAGACUGGGAUAACUUCGGGAAACCGGAGCUAAUACCGGAUAAUAUUUCGAACCGCAUGGUUCGAUAGUGAAAGAUGGCUUUGCUAUCACUUAUAGAUGGACCUGCGCCGUAUUAGCUAGUUGGUAAGGUAACGGCUUACCAAGGCAACGAUACGUAGCCGAUCUGAGAGGGUGAUCGGCCACACUGGAACUGAGACACGGUCCAGACUCCUACGGGAGGCAGCAGUAGGGAAUCUUCCGCAAUGGGCGAAAGCCUGACGGAGCAACGCCGCGUGAGUGAUGAAGGUCUUCGGAUCGUAAAACUCUGUUAUUAGGGAAGAACAAACGUGUAAGUAACUGUGCACGCCUUGACGGUACCUAAUCAGAAAGCCACGGCUAACUACGUG
This 497-nucleotide ribosomal RNA is filed under the name uncultured bacterium. RNAcentral describes it as "partial 16S ribosomal RNA". It matches the Rfam family "Bacterial small subunit ribosomal RNA", at positions 28 to 507 of the family's 1533-position model. The record is from RNAcentral.